AGGUACCAAGAAAGAAAAAAGAAAAAAAAGGUGCACCUUUCAUUAUAUAGAAAGAGGAGGCAGCAUAAGCCUACCCCAUGUACACCUUAGCCCAGGCCCUGUGCCCCAUCUGUUUUGUGAAUGGGGAAACAUGG
This is a small nucleolar RNA of Marmota marmota marmota (Alpine marmot), 134 nucleotides long. The record is from Ensembl. Lineage: Eukaryota; Metazoa; Chordata; Mammalia; Rodentia; Sciuridae.